Molecule: ribosomal RNA, 459 nt
Filed under: uncultured bacterium
Lineage: Bacteria
Description: partial 16S ribosomal RNA
Rfam family: Bacterial small subunit ribosomal RNA
Source: RNAcentral
CCUACGGGCGACAGCAGUGAGGAAUAUUGGUCAAUGGACGCAAGUCUGAUCCAGCCAUGCCGCGUGCAGGAAGACGGCUCUAUGAGUUGUAAACUGCUUUUGUACGAGGGUAAACGCAGAUACGCGUAUCUGUCUGAAAGUAUCGUACGAAUAAGGAUCGGCUAACUCCGUGCCAGCAGCCGCGGUAAUACGGAGGAUUCAAGCGUUAUCCGGAUUUAUUGGGUUUAAAGGGUGCGUAGGCGGUCGGAUAAGUUAGAGGUGAAAUCCCGAGGCUCAACCCCGGCGAGCCGUUGAAACUGUCGGACUAGAGACGGCGAGAAGUACGCGGAAUGCGCGGUGUAGCGGUGAAAUGCAUAGAUAUCGCGCAGAACUCCGAUUGCGAAGGCAGCGUACCGGCGCCGGACUGACGCUGAGGCACGAAAGCGUGGGUAUCGAACAGGAUUAGAUACCCCUGUAGUC